CGAGGGGAAACGACAUCGAAAGCUUGCUUUUGAUGGGCGUCGACCGGCGCACGGGUGAGUAACGCGUAUCCAACCUGCCCACCACUUGGGGAUAACCUUGCGAAAGUAAGACUAAUACCCAAUGACGUCUCUAGAAGACAUCUGAAAGAGAUUAAAGAUUUAUCGGUGAUGGAUGGGGAUGCGUCUGAUUAGCUUGUUGGCGGGGUAACGGCCCACCAAGGCGACGAUCAGUAGGGGUUCUGAGAGGAAGGUCCCCCACAUUGGAACUGAGACACGGUCCAAACUCCUACGGGAGGCAGCAGUGAGGAAUAUUGGUCAAUGGACGAGAGUCUGAACCAGCCAAGUAGCGUGCAGGAUGACGGCCCUAUGGGUUGUAAACUGCUUUUAUAAGGGAAUAAAGUGAGCCUCGUGAGGCUUUUUGCAUGUACCUUAUGAAUAAGGACCGGCUAAUUCCGUGCCAGCAGCCGCGGUAAUACGGAAGGUCCGGGCGUUAUCCGGAUUUAUUGGGUUUAAAGGGAGCGUAGAUGGAUUUUUAAGUCAGUUGUGAAAGUUUGCGGCUCAACCGUAAAAUUGCAGUUGAUACUGGAUAUCUUGAGUGCAGUUGAGGCAGGCGGAAUUCGUGGUGUAGCGGUGAAAUGCUUAGAUAUCACGAAGAACUCCGAUUG
This 665-nucleotide ribosomal RNA is filed under the name uncultured bacterium. Its description in RNAcentral is "bacterial SSU rRNA". It matches the Rfam family "Bacterial small subunit ribosomal RNA", at positions 63 to 715 of the family's 1533-position model. The record is from RNAcentral.